This is a small nuclear RNA of Apodemus sylvaticus (European woodmouse), 107 nucleotides long. The record is from RefSeq and is a predicted model, not a curated record. Lineage: Eukaryota; Metazoa; Chordata; Mammalia; Rodentia; Muridae.
UUGCUCACUUCAGCAGCACAUAUACUAAAAUUGGAAUAAUACCAAGAAGAUUUGCAUGACCCCUGCACAAGGAUGACACAGAAAUUCAUGAAGAAUUCCAUAUUUUA